GACGAACGCUGGCGGCGUGCUUAACACAUGCAAGUCGAACGGAAAGGCCCUGCUUUUGUGGGGUGCUCGAGUGGCGAACGGGUGAGUAACACGUGAGUAACCUGCCCUUGUCUUUGGGGUAACUUCAGGAAACUGGGGCUAAUACCGGAUAGGAGCUCCUGCUGCGUGGUGGGGGUUGGAAAGUUUCGGCGGUUGGGGCUGGUAUCGCAGGUUAUCAGCUUGCUGGUGGGGUAGUGGCUUACCAGGGGUUUGACGGGUAGGCGACAUGGGAGAGUGACCGGCCACAUUGGGCCUAGGGUAGGGCGCAGAAGCGUACGGGCGGCAGCAGUGGGAAAUCUUGCACAAUGAGCGGAAGCCUGAUGCAGCAACGCCGCGUGCGGGAUGACGGCUUUCGGGUUGUAAACCGAUUUCGCAUGUGACGAAGCGUGAGUGACGGUAAUGGGUAAAAAAGCACCGGCUAACUACGUG
Molecule: ribosomal RNA, 468 nt
Filed under: uncultured bacterium
Lineage: Bacteria
Description: partial 16S ribosomal RNA
Rfam family: Bacterial small subunit ribosomal RNA
Source: RNAcentral